AUUUUCUCAUUCCUCGGCCCCACCAACUUCGGGUACAUCAAAGCCCUGGUGACAACGUUCUACCCGACAAUUGACUUGCAAAACUACACGCUAUCCGGCUUCUCUGACGUCACAAACAUUCUUUGCUCAACUGCGACGGGAAUCAUCGCAGCUCACGCGUAUUUUCCGCCGCUGGUGGCGAUUAUUUGGAGACGAAAAAUCGUCCGAGAAAUCAAUAGUCAACAAUCGGCUUUAUCCGCCAGAACUCAACUGCAAACUCGACAUUUUGUGCAGUGUCUGACGUGGCAAACGUGUCUUCCGUUGUUUUUCUACGUGGUUCCUUAUACAUUUUAUCUCGUACAGCAACUUUUUGGAAUCGGCACCGCCAUCACCGAAUAUUUGAUCUUCCCGCUGAACACAUUCUCGGCGGUAGUUGACCCGAUUUGCAUGCUUCACUUCAUCAAGCCUUAUCAGCGAAAGGCCAAGCAGCUUAUUUCGAAUUUACUUGGCCUAAAUAUUGCUCAAAAUUCUAGCACAAUUGCAACAGUGUCUUCUCAGCUAUAA
RNAcentral lists this unclassified non-coding RNA (543 nucleotides) under Caenorhabditis elegans. RNAcentral's name for it is "Non-coding transcript of protein-coding gene srd-72". The record is from RNAcentral. Lineage: Eukaryota; Metazoa; Nematoda; Chromadorea; Rhabditida; Rhabditidae.